UACGUAGGGUGCAAGCGUUAAUCGGAAUUACUGGGCGUAAAGCGUGCGCAGGCGGUUCGCUAAGACAGAUGUGAAAUCCCCGGGCUUAACCUGGGAACUGCAUUUGUGACUGGCGGGCUAGAGUAUGGCAGAGGGGGGUAGAAUUCCACGUGUAGCAGUGAAAUGCGUAGAGAUGUGGAGGAAUACCGAUGGCGAAGGCAAUCCCCUGGGCCUGCACUGACGCUCAUGCACGAAAGCGUGGGGAGCAAACAGG
RNAcentral lists this ribosomal RNA (253 nucleotides) under uncultured bacterium. RNAcentral describes it as "partial 16S ribosomal RNA". It matches the Rfam family "Bacterial small subunit ribosomal RNA", at positions 524 to 776 of the family's 1533-position model. The record is from RNAcentral.